AAAAAAUUCCCAACCGAGAAAACCUCCUUCCCUCUAUCUCUCUCUUCUGUGGUUCAAAAAACAGAAAAGAAAAGGGAAAUGGCGUUAUCCUACACCACAACAAUUGCCUCUUCACUACUUCCUGCAGCAACUCCUUCACUUCCAAAUAAAAAGAGUUUUUGGAUAGAGAAGGAAGCCCUUUUCGGAAUUGCAAGUAAAUUAACAGUACCCAGAAAUGGAAGGAGUUCUUCUGUUGAAUUCGAUGUGCCAUUUCCUCGUGAUUAUGAGGAGCUUCUUGAUCAAGCCAAAAAAGCAACUGAAUUGGCUUGGGAAGAUAACAAACAGCUGAUGGAGAUUGAAUUCCCAACAGCCGGACUCGAAUCUGUACCGGGUGACGGUGAAGGAGGAAUAGAGAUGACUGGAAGCAUGCAGUUAAUUCGUGAAUUCUGUGAUCGUUUUGUAAGUCCAGAAAAGGCUACAAGGACCAGAAUUUUCUUUCCAGAGGCUAAUGAAGUUAAUUUUGCAAGACAAUCAGCAUUUGAAGGAUCUUCGCUUAAGUUGGACUAUUUGACAAAGCCAUCUUUUUUCGAGGAUUUUGGUUUUGUUGAAAAAGUCAAAAUGACAGACCGUGUGAAGCCAGAGGAUGAACUGUUCCUAGUUGCCUAUCCAUAUUUCAAUGUUAAUGAAAUGCUUGUGGUGGAAGAGCUUUACAAAGAAGCUGUUGUGGAAACAGCCCGAAAACUGAUUAUAUUCAAUGGAGAACUUGACCGCAUAAGAUCUGGUUAUUAUCCAUCCUUUUUCUAUCCUAAGCUUGCCUCUCUUUUGAAGACACUCUUCCCAUUGAUGGAGACUGUAUAUUACGUUCACAAUUUUAAAGGGCGCAAUGGAGGAACCCUUUUCAGGUGCUACCCAGGUCCCUGGAAAGUCCUACGAAAAGUUAGGAAUGCCUAUACAUGUUUGCAUCAACAGGAAGCUAUGCCCUCCCUUAAAGAAGUUGCCCUGGAUAUUCUGCCGUCAGUUUGAGAAUUUCGCUGUCCAUGUUGCAGAUUUAUACGUCCAAGGUAUAUAUUCAAGACUCUAGCCUCAUCCUUUGCGCUACCACCAACUUUUCCUGCUUCAUCCAUUGAAGAAGCAUCCUUGAAAUAGAAAAGGCUUAGGGACAAACCCUUGUAAUUUCCUGUGCAGAUGGUUGCAAGUUUAAUUUUAUGGGUUGCAGUAUGCAAUGGUUCUGUCCAAGAUGGUGAUUAUGAUAUAGGAAGGCAAAAAUCUUAAGCAAUCGUAUGAUUAACUUUGUUGGGAACUUAGCUCAAAACCGAGAGAAAAAUAGGACACGAGCCACCGCAGAGUUCUCAUUCUCAUUUAAUUGCUGCAAUGAAAUGAAUAUCAAGAUGCCACAGUUAAAGACUGUAAAAGAUGAGCUGAUGUUUACUGCUUGGUUUGGUUUGAAAGAGAGCAGGUUGAUGAUGAUUUAUGAAUAUGAAUCUGUCGAGUAAUUUUUCCAAAUGUCAAUCACUCGUCGUUUUCUGUAUAAAAAAAGAUUGCCGCUUUUUAUGGCUUUAUGCAUGUCAAAUCCGAUCACCUCAUUUUGUUUC
RNA transcript from Populus euphratica (Euphrates poplar), 1571 nucleotides. It is a transcript of the gene named LOW PSII ACCUMULATION protein (DUF1995), with no coding region annotated. The transcript is spliced from 11 exons. Lineage: Eukaryota; Viridiplantae; Streptophyta; Magnoliopsida; Malpighiales; Salicaceae. The record is from RefSeq and is a predicted model, not a curated record.